UUGGUGCCUUCGGGAACUCUGAGACAGGUGCUGCAUGGCUGUCGUCAGCUCGUGUUGUGAAAUGUUGGGUUAAGUCCCGCAACGAGCGCAACCCUUAUCCUUUGUUGCCAGCGGUUAGGCCGGGAACUCAAAGGAGACUGCCAGUGAUAAACUGGAGGAAGGUGGGGAUGACGUCAAGUCAUCAUGGCCCUUACGAGUAGGGCUACACACGUGCUACAAUGGCGCAUACAAAGAGAAGCGACCUCGCGAGAGCAAGCGGACCUCAU
Molecule: ribosomal RNA, 266 nt
Filed under: Enterobacter kobei
Lineage: Bacteria; Pseudomonadati; Pseudomonadota; Gammaproteobacteria; Enterobacterales; Enterobacteriaceae
Description: partial 16S ribosomal RNA
Rfam family: Bacterial small subunit ribosomal RNA
Source: RNAcentral